AGCAGCCGCGGUAAUUCCAGCUCCAAUAGCGUAUAUUAAAGUUGUUGCAGUUAAAAAGCUCGUAGUUGAAUUUCAGGCCUGGCUGGACGGUCCGCCCUCUGGGUGAGAACUGUCUGUGGUCGGGUCCUACCUUCUGGCGAAGCGUCAUGGCCUUAACCGGCCGUGGCGGGGAACCAGGACUUUUACUGUGAAAAAAUUAGAGUGUUCAAAGCAGGCAGUCGCUUGAAUACAUUAGCAUGGAAUAAUGGAAUAGGACAGUGGUUCUAUUUGUUGGUUUCUAGGACCGUUGUAAUGAUUAAUAGGGAUAGUUGGGG
RNAcentral lists this ribosomal RNA (314 nucleotides) under uncultured Paraglomus. Its description in RNAcentral is "SSU rRNA". It matches the Rfam family "Eukaryotic small subunit ribosomal RNA", at positions 569 to 887 of the family's 1831-position model. The record is from RNAcentral. Lineage: Eukaryota; Fungi; Glomeromycota; Glomeromycetes; Paraglomerales; Paraglomeraceae.